ACCAUGCGCGGUGGCGCGUGCCUGUAGUCCCAGCUACUUGGGAGGCUGAGGGGGGAGGAUCGCUUGAGCCCAGGAGUGGCUCUAGUGCGCUAUGCCGAUCGGGUGUCCACACUAAGUUCGGCAUCAAUAUGGUGACCUCCCGGGAGCGGGGGACCACAAGGUUGCCUAAGGAGGGGUGAACUGGCCCAGGUCGGAAAUGGAGCAGGUCAAAACUCCCAUGCUGAUCAGUAGUGGGAUCACGCCUGUGAAUAGCCACUGCACUCCAGCCUGGGCAACAUGGUGAGACCCUGUCUCU
This 295-nucleotide signal recognition particle RNA is filed under the name Aotus nancymaae (Ma's night monkey). RNAcentral describes it as "Metazoan signal recognition particle RNA (ENSANAG00000001449.1)". It matches the Rfam family "Metazoan signal recognition particle RNA". From Rfam's summary of the family: The signal recognition particle (SRP) is a universally conserved ribonucleoprotein. It is involved in the co-translational targeting of proteins to membranes. The eukaryotic SRP consists of a 300-nucleotide 7S RNA and six proteins: SRPs 72, 68, 54, 19, 14, and 9. Lineage: Eukaryota; Metazoa; Chordata; Mammalia; Primates; Aotidae. The record is from RNAcentral.